This 497-nucleotide ribosomal RNA is filed under the name uncultured bacterium. RNAcentral describes it as "partial 16S ribosomal RNA". It matches the Rfam family "Bacterial small subunit ribosomal RNA", at positions 28 to 507 of the family's 1533-position model. The record is from RNAcentral.
GACGAACGCUGGCGGCGUGCCUAAUACAUGCAAGUAGAACGCUGAAGAGAGGAGCUUACUCUUCUUGGAUGAGUUGCGAACGGGUGAGUAACGCGUAGGUAACCUGCCUUGUAGCGGGGGAUAACUAUUGGAAACGAUAGCUAAUACCGCAUAACAAUGGAUGACACAUGUCAUUUAUUUGAAAGGGGCAAUUGCUCCACUACAAGAUGGACCUGCGUUGUAUUAGCUAGUAGGUGAGGUAAUGGCUCACCUAGGCGACGAUACAUAGCCGACCUGAGAGGGUGAUCGGCCACAAUGGGACUGAGACACGGCCCAGACUCCUAAGGGAAGCAGCAGUAGGGAAUCUUCGGCAAUGGGGGCAACCCUGACCGAGCAACGCCGCGUGAGUGAAGAAGGGUUUCGGAUCGUAAAGCUCUGUUGUAAGUCAAGAACGGGUGUGAGAGUGGAAAGUUCACACUGUGACGGUAGCUUACCAGAAAGGGACGGCUAACUACGUG